CACCUUACUCUGCACUGAUAGAAUGGAGGCAGUCGGCGCAGUCUGCCAUGCCUAUAAGGAGAUUGGGGAGUGGGUUUUAGAAGAAGCAAAAUGGUGAACGUGCAAAUGUCUUGUAGGUGUGUCCAACAUGACAAGAGAUUGCCCUCCUAGAUCAUGAAGGGCAUUUCUUUAUUAGAGAGGCAAGGCAAGCUUGUUUCCUACUGCAUCUCAGUUUACUUAAGAUCAGACACAUUUGGAACUCAGGUUAAGGAUUAGAGCCUAACAAACUCAAGUUUUCUUAUGUGAGCCAGAGCAUGCCAGGCUGUCUUUGUCUACACGGACUGGGUCUCUCCAGCUGCACUGUUUCCAGGUUGCUUCUGAGAUGGUGUUAACAAGGCCUACACGUCUACACAGUGUAGAUGUGAAACAAGCAGUGUGGACUAUUGAGCCCAUAUCUGUCUCUUUAGCUACACCCAUAAAUCAGAUAGGAAUCUCUGGCAUCAUUGUCAUUUCUGAAUAGAAAACUAUGCUAGAAGGAAAUCCAUGUAGCACAAACUCUUUUAGUAUAAGAUAAACU
Molecule: long non-coding RNA, 556 nt
Filed under: Bos taurus (domestic cattle)
Lineage: Eukaryota; Metazoa; Chordata; Mammalia; Artiodactyla; Bovidae
Description: long non-coding RNA NONBTAT017541
Source: RNAcentral